GCUGUGAUGGCCGAGUGGUUAAGGCGUUGGACUCGAAAUCCAAUGGGAUAUUCCCGCGCAGGUUCAAACCCUGCUCGCAGCG
This 82-nucleotide transfer RNA is filed under the name Anneissia japonica. RNAcentral's name for it is "tRNA-Ser". It matches the Rfam family "tRNA". From Rfam's summary of the family: Transfer RNA (tRNA) molecules are approximately 80 nucleotides in length. Their secondary structure includes four short double-helical elements and three loops (D, anti-codon, and T loops). Further hydrogen bonds mediate the characteristic L-shaped molecular structure. tRNAs have two regions of fundamental functional importance: the anti-codon, which is responsible for specific mRNA codon recognition, and the 3' end, to which the tRNAs corresponding amino acid is attached (by aminoacyl-tRNA synthetases). tRNAs cope with the degeneracy of the genetic code in two manners: having more than one tRNA (with a specific anti-codon) for a particular amino acid; and 'wobble' base-pairing, i.e. permitting non-standard base-pairing at the 3rd anti-codon position. Lineage: Eukaryota; Metazoa; Echinodermata; Crinoidea; Comatulida; Comatulidae. The record is from RNAcentral.